Molecule: ribosomal RNA, 231 nt
Filed under: uncultured bacterium
Lineage: Bacteria
Description: partial 16S ribosomal RNA
Rfam family: Bacterial small subunit ribosomal RNA
Source: RNAcentral
UACGUAGGGCGCAAGCGUUAUCCGGAAUUAUUGGGCGUAAAGAGCUCGUAGGCGGUUUGUCGCGUCUGCCGUGAAAGUCCGGGGCUCAACUCCGGAUCUGCGGUGGGUACGGGCAGACUAGAGUGAUGUAGGGGAGACUGGAAUUCCUGGUGUAGCGGUGAAAUGCGCAGAUAUCAGGAAGAACACCCGUGGCUAAGGCGGCUCUCUAGUACGGUACUGACGCUGAGACGC